AAACUUUCAACAACGGAUCUCUUGGUUCUCGCAUCGAUGAAGAACGCAGCGAAAUGCGAUACGUAAUACGGAAUCGCAGCUCUCGGAAUCAUCGAAU
This 97-nucleotide ribosomal RNA is filed under the name Kodamaea sagamina. RNAcentral's name for it is "[Candida] sagamina 5.8S rRNA". It matches the Rfam family "5.8S ribosomal RNA", at positions 1 to 97 of the family's 154-position model. From Rfam's summary of the family: 5.8S ribosomal RNA (5.8S rRNA) is a component of the large subunit of the eukaryotic ribosome. It is transcribed by RNA polymerase I as part of the 45S precursor that also contains 18S and 28S rRNA. Lineage: Eukaryota; Fungi; Ascomycota; Pichiomycetes; Serinales; Debaryomycetaceae. The record is from RNAcentral.